RNAcentral lists this ribosomal RNA (253 nucleotides) under uncultured bacterium. RNAcentral's name for it is "partial 16S ribosomal RNA". It matches the Rfam family "Bacterial small subunit ribosomal RNA", at positions 524 to 776 of the family's 1533-position model. The record is from RNAcentral.
UACGUAGGGUGCGAGCGUUGUCCGGAAUUAUUGGGCGUAAAGAGCUCGUAGGCGGCUUGUCACGUCGAUUGUGAAAGCCCGAGGCUUAACCUCGGGUCUGCAGUCGAUACGGGCUAGCUAGAGUGUGGUAGGGGAGAUCGGAAUUCCUGGUGUAGCGGUGAAAUGCGCAGAUAUCAGGAGGAACACCGGUGGCGAAGGCGGAUCUCUGGGCCAUUACUGACGCUGAGGAGCGAAAGCGUGGGGAGCAAACAGG